RNAcentral lists this ribosomal RNA (301 nucleotides) under uncultured bacterium. RNAcentral's name for it is "partial 16S ribosomal RNA". It matches the Rfam family "Bacterial small subunit ribosomal RNA", at positions 509 to 807 of the family's 1533-position model. The record is from RNAcentral.
CAGCAGCCGCGGGAAUACAGAGGGUGCGAGCGUUAAUCGGAUUUACUGGGCGUAAAGCGUGCGUAGGCGGCUUCUUAAGUCGGAUGUGAAAUCCCUGAGCUUAACUUAGGUAUUGCAUUCGAUACUGGGAAGCUAGAGUAUGGGAGAGGAUGGUAGAAUUCCAGGUGUAGCGGUGAAAUGCGUAGAGAUCUGGAGGAAUACCGAUGGCGAAGGCAGCCAUCUGGCCUAAUACUGACGCUGAGGUACGAAAGCAUGGGGAGCAAACAGGAUUAGAUACCCCCGUAGUCCCUGUCUCUUAUAC